ACUCCUACGGGAGGCAGCAGUGGGGAAUAUUGCACAAUGGGGGAAACCCUGAUGCAGCCAUGCCGCGUGUGUGAAGAAGGCCUUCGGUUGUAAAGCACUUUCAGUAGGGAGGAAGGUAGUGUAGUUAACACCUGCAUUAUUUGACGUUACCUACAGAAGAAGCACCGGCUAACUCCGUGCCAGCAGCCGCGGUAAUACGGAGGGUGCGAGCGUUAAUCGGAAUUACUGGGCGUAAAGCGCAUGCAGGCGGCCUGUUAAGUCAGAUGUGAAAGCCCGGGGCUUAACCUCGGAAUUGCAUUUGAAACUGGCAGGCUAGAGUCUGUAGAGGGGUUAGAAUUUCAGGUGUAGCGGUGAAAUGCGUAGAGAUCUGAAGGAAUACCAGUGGCGAAGGCGGCCCCUGGACAAAGACUGACGCUCAGAUGCGAAAGCGUGGGAGCAAACAGGAUUAGAUACCCCUGGUAGACUGUCA
This 469-nucleotide ribosomal RNA is filed under the name uncultured bacterium. RNAcentral's name for it is "bacterial SSU rRNA". It matches the Rfam family "Bacterial small subunit ribosomal RNA", at positions 335 to 802 of the family's 1533-position model. The record is from RNAcentral.